This 972-nucleotide ribosomal RNA is filed under the name uncultured Gammaproteobacteria bacterium. Its description in RNAcentral is "bacterial SSU rRNA". It matches the Rfam family "Bacterial small subunit ribosomal RNA", at positions 8 to 969 of the family's 1533-position model. The record is from RNAcentral. Lineage: Bacteria; Pseudomonadati; Pseudomonadota; Gammaproteobacteria.
AGAGUUUGAUCCUGGCUCAGAUUGAACGCUGGCGGCAGGCUUAACACAUGCAAGUCGAACGGAAACAGGAAGUAGCUUGCUACUUUGCUGUCGAGUGGCGGACGGGUGAGUAAUGCUUGGGAACAUGCCUUUAGGUGGGGGACAACAGUUGGAAACGACUGCUAAUACCGCAUAAUAUCUUCGGAUCAAAGUGGGGGACCUUCGGGCCUCACGCCUAGAGAGUGGCCCAAGUGGGAUUAGCUAGUUGGUAAGGUAAUGGCUUACCAAGGCGACGAUCCCUAGCUGGUCUUAGAGGAUGACCAGCCACACUGGAACUGAGACACGGUCCAGACUCCUACGGGAGGCAGCAGUGGGGAAUAUUGCACAAUGGAGGAAACUCUGAUGCAGCCAUGCCGCGUGUGUGAAGAAGGCUUUCGGGUUGUAAAGCACUUUCAGUGGGGAGGAAAGGUUGCUGUUUAAUAGACAGUAGCUGUGACGUUACCCACAGAAGAAGCACCGGCUAACUCCGUGCCAGCAGCCGCGGUAAUACGGAGGGUGCGAGCGUUAAUCGGAAUUACUGGGCGUAAAGCGUACGUAGGUGGUUAAUUAAGUCAGAUGUGAAAGCCCAGGGCUCAACCCUGGAACUGCAUUUGAAACUGGAUAACUAGAGUUUUGUAGAGGGUGGUAGAAUUUCAGGUGUAGCGGUGAAAUGCGUAGAGAUCUGAAGGAAUACCAGUGGCGAAGGCGGCCACCUGGACAAAGACUGACACUGAGGUACGAAGGCGUGGGGAGCAAACGGGAUUAGAUACCCCGGUAGUCCACGCAGUAAACGAUGUCUAUUAGAAGUUUGUGGCUAUAUGCCGUGGGUUUCAAAGCUAACGCAUUAAAUAGACCGCCUGGGGAGUACGGCCGCAAGGUUAAAACUCAAAUGAAUUGACGGGGGCCCGCACAAGCGGUGGAGCAUGUGGUUUAAUUCGAUGCAACGCGAAGAAC